This 497-nucleotide ribosomal RNA is filed under the name uncultured bacterium. RNAcentral's name for it is "partial 16S ribosomal RNA". It matches the Rfam family "Bacterial small subunit ribosomal RNA", at positions 28 to 507 of the family's 1533-position model. The record is from RNAcentral.
GACGAACGCUGGCGGCGUGCCUAAUACAUGCCAGUUGAGCGAUGAAGAUUGGUGCUUGCACCAAUUUGAAGAGCAGCGAGCGGGUGAGUAACGCGUGGGGAAUCUGCCUUUGAGCGGGGGACAACAUUUGGAAACGAAUGCUAAUACCGCAUAACAACUUUAAACAUAAGUUUUAAGUUUGAAAGAUGCAAUUGCAUCACUCAAAGAUGAUCCCGCGUUGUAUUAGCUAGUUGGUGAGGUAAAGGCUCACCAAGGCGAUGAUACAUAGCCGACCUGAGAGGGUGAUCGGCCACAACUGGACUGAGACACGGCCCAAACUCCUACGGGAAGCAGCAGUAGGGGAUCUUCGGCAAAGGACGGAAGUCUGACCGGGCAACGCCGCGUGAGUGAAGAAGGUUUUCGGAUCGUAAAACUCUGUUGAUAGAGAAGAACGUUGGUGAGAGUGGAAAGCUCAUCAAGUGACGGUAACUACCCAGAAAGGGACGGCUAACUACGUG